Molecule: long non-coding RNA, 4676 nt
Filed under: Brassica rapa (field mustard)
Lineage: Eukaryota; Viridiplantae; Streptophyta; Magnoliopsida; Brassicales; Brassicaceae
Description: long non-coding RNA (BRAP_LNC000141)
Source: RNAcentral
UGUGUGUGACCAUCGGCGAGUCGGCGUCAAUAAGCAUCUUCGAGCCCAGAUUGCCAGCAAGAUUCUAUUCAUUUGCUCUAGUAUGUUUCAACUCGAAAACUCUUUUCCCAGGUAUCGUCUAAUUAUAUUUAAAACAAUAGAAAACUUUGAUCGAAAAAUAAUAUAUAAACGAUUAUAACUAAAAAGCUCAAUAAUUUUAUUAAGAUGCAUAAUUAUAAAACUUAAAAUAAAUUGUUCUAUAGCAAGAUUCUGAAACACAAAACAUAGAUAUAAAAUGUAAAUAGGGUAUGAAUUAAAAGAAAAAAAGCAUUCAAGUUUGAUCAACUCUCCAUGUCUGAAUUCAUAAUUCUGUGGUAGGAAUCCUGUGACCAAACAAACAUAAGUGGAUAGAAAUUAGUGUAACCUCUUCAUAGUUUUCCGCCAACCACCAAAUACAUAUGCAAAAUAUGUCCAUAUAGUGUACUUACUUUGAUUUGAAGUUUUGAAUUUCUGCCAUGUCAUGAUCAAAUAAGAUUUGAGAACCACCUUCUAGGUUAGUUACAUAGUUGAAGCCACCUAUUUAAGAAACAUAAAAUGUUACCAUACUAAAGAAAUAAUUUAGAGAUUAUAAUCUAGAAAAUCAUAUUGCUAACCUUCUCCCCACACGAUACUCCAUGACCUCAAAACACACAGAUCGACUUUAGCAGUUGAGGUACGGUAGUAAUUGUUCAAAGUCACGGCUUCCUUUCCAUAGGCAACACACUUGAUGUGCUUCAAGCUGUAACUACCAUAUUGUUAGCAACUUGAUGUAUAUGAAAAGCAUAGAUCUAUUUAGAAAUUAAAAUCAUGGUAUAAGUCAGAAGUUCAAACCCUAUGUUAACCAAAUAAAACUCCAUCCUGGUCGUCUGAUAAGAAUAAAUCUCGCCAGGUCCUAGAUCUCCAAUUUGUUGCAACUCCCCCACAGCAACUAUAGCUCCACAAAGGUCUAUAAACAUAAUGGAAAGUAUAUUAAAAUUGUUAGGUCGACCAUGUUAGAAGACACUUACACAUAAUCUAUCAUAAUAUAAAUGAAAAUAUAUACUAACUUACCAAUAGAAUACAUUGGAUGCAAUAGACCUUUGAGUACAGAACUGAAGUUGGCAAGGCAAAGAAAAUUUGAAGCAAUGAUGGGUUCAAUCUUUGUAAGAACUGUUGUGUCUGUGAACUUAAUAUUGUAUUUGCUCCUUGUUGUUCUUAUCAACGCAAAAGAAGGCCUUAAUUUGAAAUUAUAUAUCUCAAACCAAUCACCUUCUUCAAGAUAGAUUCCUUUAGGAAGAUAAACAUCAUCCGGCAAAGUUGCUUCCAUUGUAAAUCCCUGCAGAUAUUUAUAAACAAUAAGUUUUAAUUAUAUUUUUAUAUUAGAUCUAAUAAUAUUUGAAAAGGAUAGCUUACUUUCUCAUCUCCUAAUACCAUUACACAAUGCUGGGGUAUUCCUCCUCUCAUGGUAUUCCAUUUGCUGACGACCUUAACACGUAUGGCAUGUGUAGGUGUCAAUGGCUGCAACUGAGAAAGGAAAAAAUACUCUGCCAUCGAGAAAAAACAAAGUAAGUUUCUAGUCUAUUCUAUGGUCUAUGAUGGAGAAGUUUAUGUAAAAUGUACUUUGCUUUAUAUACUGUUAGGUUCAUUGCGAUAAAAUAUUUCAGUGAACCAAAUAUGGGUAUGUUAGCAUAAUCAUAAAUAUUGUAUAUAUAUACAUACCAUUCUUCUGUUCGUCUGAUUUAUUAAAAAUACGAUGAAUAUAUGUCCUUUAAUUACUAACUAUAUAGUUAUGGAGGUUGUUUAGUUUCAAGAAACUAUAUAUAUAUUCUUUACUUUCUUCUCAUCAGAAACAUAUAUAACUUACGAUCCUAUAUAAUAGGGGUGGGCGUUCGGAUACCCGUUCGGGUUCGGAUCGGGUAUUUCGGAUUUUCGGGUAUUUCGGUAUAGAGGUGUAGAACCCGUUCGGGUAUUUCUGUACUUCGGGUCGGGUUCGGGUAUUUUUAGUUCGGUUUCGGUUAUUUCGGAUCGGGUUCGGAUAUUUAGAUUUUGAAAAAAAAAAAUUAAAAUUUUCAUUUUUCAAAUUUCUUGUAUUUAAAUAUAUAACUUUCACUUAACUAUUUUUUGUAUUUUUAAUAGAUUGAAUGGUUAAUAGAUUUGGACAUAACAUUUUCAAACUAAAAAGACAUUAAUUUGGUUAUUGUUUUUAAAUUUUGGAUGUAAUUUUUUGUUAAUUGUUGAAAUAAAAAGUUUGACAUGUAUUUUAAGUGCAUAGCAAAUCAUCUUCUACGUAAUUGUAUGUAUAUCAUAUGAAUUUAAAAUAUGUGUAGUAUCAAUAUAAAUAUUUUAUAUAAAAUGAAAGAUGUAAAUUAAAAAUAUAAGGUUAAUUAUACAUAUGUUCGGUUAUCUUCGGAUAUCCAUUCGGGUUCGGAUAUUACCCGUUCGGGUUCGGAUAUCCAAUCUCUCCUAAUUUAAUACCCGUUCGGAUAUUUUGCUAUUUCGGUUCGGAUUUCAGUUCGGGUUUUUUGGAUCGGGUUCGGGUGCCACUUCGGAUUUCGGGUAAAGUGCCCACCCCUACUAUAUAAUAUAACAUAUACAGGCUAACGUUAAGAAUCUCACAAUUUUAUGGAAGGAAAAAUAUAUAUCAAAUUUAGUGCGUGGCCGCAAAGUUUGACAUUUUUAAUUAACUAUUUUAGCUUUCAUUUUAUUUGUUACAGGAAAAGCGGGGGCGCAGAAUAUGAAAUUCAGGUUAACAAAUCCGACCGGGAGGCUGUUAGUGGGCUUUUAUUUAGGUUAGUAACGUUAUGAGGACAUUCACAAAAGUCCAUUAAAUAAAUAGAUAUGUCGUGAUUGCUUAUAUGUUUAGAAUGCUAGACUUGCUAAGUUGCAUUGAAGUAGAUAAGCUUAUAACAAUAGGUUCUAUUGGAUAGUAUAAGUAGAAUUGAUAGACUUGAAAUGAAAAAUGUCAAAAGCGUAGUCCUCCUCUCACUUUGCUUCCUAGAAGUCUGUCAUCGUCGCACCUCUGCAAAAAUAAUUUAGUUACUAGGUUAAGACCCGCGCCUUGCGCGGAAUGAACAUUAUAUAUAUAAAUUAUUUUAUUUAUUAUAUGUUUAUAACAUAUUUUAAAUAUAAAUAUAUAUUGAAUAAUUAAAAAGGUCAUUAUCUACUAUUUAUAUAAUUAAAUUGGUGCGAAUAUAUAAAUAAAUUUAAUAAAUCGAAAAAAUAUUUUUUUUUAUUUGAUAUGAUAAAUAAUUAAAUUUAAAUGAUAGUAACAUAUAUAUGGUAUAUGUUAAUAUUAAUAUUUAUUAGAUGAUGUUUUUUGCUCAUAUUUUUUUUUAUCAUUUUUUAUCUGUUAUAGCAAAAAAUCUAAAUUAGUGAUAACAAAAUUUUCACUUUAGGAAUAAUGGUUUAAGUAAUUUAUAAUAUUUUAAAAAUUAAGUUGUCAAUAUUUUUUCAAAAUUUUUAUCAAAAAAAUAUUCAAAGUAAAGUUCAAAAUUACGAUAUUUAUGUAUUUUUAUAUGGCAUAUAGUUUAAUUUAAAAUGAUACAUAUAUUUAUAUAUAUUUUAUUUUUGAUACUUAUUAAAUGAGACUUUCAACUUAUAUUAUUUUUCAGUUAUUUGUAUCAUGUCAUAACAAAAGUUUUAAAUCAUAGAUCACAAAAUUUGAAUGUAAAACUUUUAACAGUUUUAGUAAUUUAUACUCGUUUUUAAAAAUUCAAAAUAUAAUAUAUAAAUAUUUUUUUUAAUUUUUAUUAUAUGGUUACUAUGAUUGUUUAAUUUAUUUUAAUAGCUUAAAAUUAAACAAAUAUAAUUAUAAUACACACUUAUUUUUAUCAAAUCUUUAUUAUUCAAAACAUUAAUUGUCAUAUAUACUUUAGCCACAUUAGGCAAUUCCGUAAUCUUAUUUAAGGAAAUAAUGAAUCACAUUAAUAAUGUAUUUAUUGUGGUUUAAUAAAAAGCUUAUUAUAUAUUUAAAUGGACCAACAUAUUUCUCUAAGGAUUCUAAGAAUCAUUAUAGUGAUGCCACGUGGCUACAAAAAAAUGUUGUAAUGCUUCUCAAAUAAUAUAUAGGGGAUUGAUCAUUGUCUUGUUCGUCGAGGUUAACACGCAAAAUGAUGCAUAAGGUUUAACGUUUAUUAAUUUGUAUACUAAUAUUUAUCUUAAGAUUAUUCAUGCAUACAAAUCUAUACAAUAAAGAGAAGACAAAAAAAAUACAACACAUGCGCGAGUCCGGGAGAGGACAUAUAUAGUGUCUCAAACUCUCAGUUUUAUUCUAACCUAAACUUGGACCCUAUAAUAGCGAAAAUAUACAUUCACAUUAUUUUCAUACGACUUUCUUUGGAUUUUGGAUGGGAACAUGUGAAUAAUUAAGUAAUUAACUAUACAAAACCUAACUGACUUGAACUUAAUUAUCUUUUCUUGACUUGGACGUAUCCCCACAUAUACUAUAGACCCCUAGACUAAUGCGUAAUACUUGGAAAACAUGGUGCACCCUUGCUGAGUUUAUAUUUGCAUGCAUGUAUGUACAUGUAUAUAUGCCACGUAUGCAUAAAACAUGACACUAAUUAAUGCGUGUGUGUUGUGACUCAUCUCCGUAGAGUUUCCAUUAUGUCAUGUGGUGAGGAGAGAGUCAAAACCCAAAAUCAUGUACACCAAAGUCUUGGCAAUAAUCCAGAAACGUC